This 908-nucleotide long non-coding RNA is filed under the name Homo sapiens (human). RNAcentral describes it as "non-protein coding lnc-TTC9B-2:1". Lineage: Eukaryota; Metazoa; Chordata; Mammalia; Primates; Hominidae. The record is from RNAcentral.
GUAGUCUCCGGCCGUGCGGCCUCGGGGCCCGGCUCUCAGCGCCCUCCAGCAGAGCCCCGCGGCCAGCCUCGGGCCGCAAUGGACAUGACACCCCACGAAGCCGAAGGAGUCCUCCCGGGGAGAUGAGCCCGGCCUCGGCCCCUCCUUCGGACGCGGCGUAGCGGGCGCCCGGGGCGGGGGGAAGCGCUCCUCACAGACCCUGUGGGGGCCGCGGCCCAGGAUGGGUUGGACUGCAACGGACGCGAUUAGCAACGCGAAAAAUAGGAGCUGCGUGCAUGACUGUGACUGCCCGGAGCCGCGAACGCAGCCUGGACCUUAUCCCUGAGGCAGGACGGCCCCUCGGACCCCCCGACCGAGAUGACUCCUGGGAUGUUUUCCAACACCAACAGCCAGUUCUCUGAUUCUCUGGCCACCAACUGGAUAUUCAACAAUUCAGUUCAAUUCUGAUACUACCUGGAGUUAGGGCAGAUUCCACAGCUGAAGGGCUCAAAACUGCCCCACCCACCAACUUCAGAUGCCAGUUGCAAGUCCCAGGACUCCCAUACUUCUGACCAAUGUAAACCAAAAAUAAAAUUCUUUUUUUUUUUUUUGAGACAGAGUCUCACUCUGUGCCCAGGCUGGAGUGCAGUGGCAUGAUUUUGGCUCACUGCAACCUCCACCUCCCAGGUUCAAGCAAUUCUCCUGCCUUAGCCUCCUGAGUAGCUGGGACUACAGGCAGCCACCACUCCCAGCUGCUGAUUUUUAUAUUUUUAGUACAGACGGGGUUUCACCAUGUUGACCAGGCUAGUCUCCAACUCUUGACCUCAGGUGAUCCACCCGCUUCAGCCUCCCAAAGUGCUGGGAUUAACAGGCAUAAGCCACUGCACCCAGCCGAGACCAAGGUUCUUCUUAUGGAGAUGAAGCCUCCA